Molecule: long non-coding RNA, 1742 nt
Filed under: Xyrichtys novacula (pearly razorfish)
Lineage: Eukaryota; Metazoa; Chordata; Actinopteri; Labriformes; Labridae
Source: RNAcentral
UUUCCCAUUAAGCCUUGGAAAGUUGAAUUUGGGGGCAUGAUGUGUGUGCAUGUGCAUGGCUGUGGACUUUGUAUUUUGGAGGGCCUUGGCAGAGCAAACCAGUUUAGCGCCAGUAGCCUUUGAGCGGCUAUUUAGCAUACUGCUCGCAGUCAAACAUGAAGUCAACGUGUCUGCUAGAAUUAAGUGUGUGCUGUACAGGAAGCAUGCUACCUGAGCUAUUAUUUAACAAAAAACUAUAACACAUGGAAAAGGAUGUAGAUCUCGAUUUAGAUAAUAUACGGUCAAAACAUCUGUUCUCCUGUUAUCUUUAGCCGCAAUAAAUCUGAGUCAACAUCAUUUAAUAGGUAAAUUCAGGGAAAGUAGCUAUUUAUCUUCACACAGAAGGUAUUCAGAUUUAACAUUUCACCCUCUAGCAGUUAGAGCUGAUAAAUGCUCUUAUCAGUUCCUCCACAUCCAGCCCUUUAAAUCUCUGCCGUGUUAAAAUGACUGCGAGUGCUGGCGGUCGUAGAUGACAUAUUGUGAAAUGACAGACAAGAGCGGCUGUCUUCUCAAUCCAUCGCCCAGCUUUUUCAUUGCAAUAUUAUGUCCAGGUUUACUGCAUCGAUUUUUGUUGCAGCUUAAUCUUUCCGCCUGUGCCAACUCUUCGUGUUUUUGAAGGUGUUCAUUGCUUCUUAUGUGCUUUCGACAAGCCCCAGAGCAAUUCCCACUAACCUUUUCCCGCAAUGCAAAAGAAAGGUUACAUCAGUGCGCCUCUCCCGACGUAAACGUACUUCCCUUCUCUCUUCAGUUCCAGAUUCCGCUUGACAUUUUCCUUGUUCAUUUGGGGAAAAAACAACUUUGAAAGUCACCUCUUGUCUUUUUUUAUUUCACCCUCUUAUUCUCCUUCCAUUGGCUUUGGGCAUCUGAACUUCCCAUCACACUAAGCAUGCUGUCAAGUUGGAUUAGUCCAUGAAGUUUAACUUGUGGGUAUUUUUUUGUUACAGGAAAGGCACUCUAGGCUUAUGUCUGACAAAUAAACCUUGCUGAGUUGCAGGUUCAAAGUUUAUCCAUUUAUUUUCCGCAGGCCGUUUCGCCCUCCCGAUUAUUUCUCCUGAGUCCAAAGUUUCUGCUGCGGCUUAACGAUACUCGUGUGGCAUCGUCAAUAGCAAGGAUACAAGGAGAGAAGGGUGAGGAAAAAGAGGGGUGACUGGGAGGUCAGUUCUCGCCUCUGCUUCUGAAGAAGGACUUUACUGUAGAGAGGUAAGAGUGAAUGAGCUGUAAACACCGGCAAAAAACAACAGAGAAGGAGUUGUUUAACAAAAUAAAGGAGAUCUUGAGAACUUGCAGGGCUCCAGUGAAUAAAUGUGAGGGCGCUUUAGCAACACUCAGUUUGACAAAUGCAGUACAGUUUUUUAAUCCUGGGAAAUGUGUUGAGUCCUUUUUGCUGUUUCAUCGACUAGUCCUGAUGUGGAGUUGUACAUCAACUCUCUCUUGAAUGUGAAACAGGGAUGGGUUAGCGUCAUAGCUCCAUAAGGCUGUGUAAACACACAUGAGGUGACAUGUUUUGCAGUGACAAUGCUUGCUGACAGACAGCAACCCCUGAAACAACGAGGUCUCACAUUUCAAACCAAUGCAUGAACAAGAGUUUCAGUUCAAUUUACUUCUGCUUGUCAACACUGAUGCCAAAGAUGUUUAUUUUUGUGAACAUGCUAGAAAUAAAAGCUAAACAAUAUGGAUAUUUUACUCUUGUCCUGCAAUCCAGA